RNAcentral lists this ribosomal RNA (148 nucleotides) under uncultured archaeon. Its description in RNAcentral is "partial 16S ribosomal RNA". It matches the Rfam family "Archaeal small subunit ribosomal RNA", at positions 321 to 473 of the family's 1478-position model. The record is from RNAcentral.
CCCUACGGGGUGCACCAGGCGCGAAAACUUUACAAUGCGGGCAACCGUGAUAAGGGAACCUCGAGUGCCUGUAAAUGCAGGCUGUUUAGGUGUUUAAAACGCACCUGGAGAAAGGGCCGGGCAAGACCGGUGCCAGCCGCCGCGGUAA